This 350-nucleotide unclassified non-coding RNA is filed under the name soil metagenome. RNAcentral describes it as "partial contains 5.8S ribosomal RNA, internal transcribed spacer 2, and large subunit ribosomal RNA". The stretch from base 1 to 120 matches the Rfam family "5.8S ribosomal RNA", at positions 35 to 154 of the family's 154-position model. The record is from RNAcentral.
GAUGAAGAACGCAGCGAAAUGCGAUAAGUAAUGUGAAUUGCAGAAUUCAGUGAAUCAUCGAAUCUUUGAACGCACAUUGCGCCCGCCAGUAUUCUGGCGGGCAUGCCUGUUCGAGCGUCAUUUCAACCCUCAAGCCCAGCUUGGUGUUGGGGAUCGGCACAGGCGCCCUCGGGCGCCCGCCGUCCCCUAAAUCUAGUGGCGGUCCCGCUGCAGCCUCCUCUGCGUAGUAGUUUUCUCCUCGCAAGGGCAGCUCGGUGGCGACCUCGCCGUAAAACCCCCAACUUCUGAAAGGUUGACCUCGAAUCAGGUAGGAAUACCCGCUGAACUUAAGCAUAACAAUAAGCGGAGGA